Molecule: small nuclear RNA, 23 nt
Filed under: Arabidopsis thaliana (thale cress)
Lineage: Eukaryota; Viridiplantae; Streptophyta; Magnoliopsida; Brassicales; Brassicaceae
Description: snRNA_17226
Source: RNAcentral
GGACACAGGUCGUUCAACGACGG